UGGCAGACGGGUGAGUAACACGUGGUCAACCUACCCUAAAGUGGGGGAUAACUAGCCGAAAGGUUAGCUAAUACCGCAUAUGUCUUCGACCGGCAUCGGAUGAAGAUAAAAGGAGCAAUCCGCUUUUGGACGGGACCGCGCCCGAUUAGCUAGUUGGUGAGGUAACGGCCCACCAAGGCACCGAUCGGUAGCUGGUUUGAGAGAGCGACCAGCCACACUGGAACUGAGAAACGGUCCAG
Molecule: ribosomal RNA, 239 nt
Filed under: uncultured bacterium
Lineage: Bacteria
Description: partial 16S ribosomal RNA
Rfam family: Bacterial small subunit ribosomal RNA
Source: RNAcentral